AAUGUUUUUUUUUUUUUUUUUUUUUUUUUUUUUUUUUGAGAGAUAGGUAGCACGCUACCUGUUUCGUUUAUUUCAUUUAGAAAUAAACUUAGUUGGAAAUGUGAAUCAACUAGGAUUCGAACUUGGGUCUCGGGUAUCAACCACCAAAUCCUUUACCACUUGUUCUAAGGACGGUCGGUCUAAGGUGACAAAUGUUACAACAGCAAAUGAUAAAGGCCUUUUUGCAUAAAAAAUUCACUUAUUUUGGGCUUUUGCAAAAUCGGGUCACCUUUUUCGUUUUUGCAGAUUCGGUCCGCUUUUUCAGCAAACUGAUCAAAAUACCCUUAUUACUUUUUCUCUUUCCUCUUUCUCUCUCCUCUUCGUUUCUGUUGUUUUUUUUUUUCUCGCCGAAAAAAAAAGAGGCGGACCAUCGCCUUCUUCUUCAUCGCCGUCUCCCUCCUCACCCUCCUUCUUCACCGUCGCCUCCCUCCUCACCCUCCUCUCCACUGUCUGCGACCC
Molecule: long non-coding RNA, 498 nt
Filed under: Ananas comosus (pineapple)
Lineage: Eukaryota; Viridiplantae; Streptophyta; Magnoliopsida; Poales; Bromeliaceae
Description: long non-coding RNA (ACOM_LNC041074)
Source: RNAcentral